UACGGAGGGUGCAAGCGUUAUCCGGAUUCACUGGGUUUAAAGGGUGCGUAGGAGGGUAGGUAAGUCAGUGGUGAAAUCUUCGAGCUUAACUCGGAAACUGCCGUUGAUACUAUCUAUCUUGAAUACCGUGGAGGUGAGCGGAAUAUGUCAUGUAGCGGUGAAAUGCUUAGAUAUGACAUAGAACACCAAUUGCGAAGGCAGCUCGCUACACGAAUAUUGACUCUGAGGCACGAAAGCGUGGGGAGCAAACAGG
This 253-nucleotide ribosomal RNA is filed under the name uncultured bacterium. RNAcentral's name for it is "partial 16S ribosomal RNA". It matches the Rfam family "Bacterial small subunit ribosomal RNA", at positions 524 to 776 of the family's 1533-position model. The record is from RNAcentral.